This 1199-nucleotide non-coding RNA is filed under the name Solanum tuberosum (potato). RNAcentral describes it as "Eukaryotic small subunit ribosomal RNA". It matches the Rfam family "Eukaryotic small subunit ribosomal RNA", at positions 1 to 1184 of the family's 1831-position model. Lineage: Eukaryota; Viridiplantae; Streptophyta; Magnoliopsida; Solanales; Solanaceae. The record is from Rfam by way of RNAcentral.
UACCUGGUUGGUUCUGCCAGUAGUCAUAUGCUUUGUCUCAAAGAUUAAGCCAUGCAUGUGUAAGUAUGAACAAAUUCAGAUUGUGAAACUGCGAAUGGCUCAUUAAAUCAGUUAUAGUUUGUUUGAUGGUACUACUAUUUGGAUAACCGUAGUAAUUCUAGAGAUAAUACGUGCAACAAACCCUGACUUCUGGAAGGGAUGCAUUUAUUAAAUAAAAGGUCGACGCGGGCUCUGCCUGUUGCUGCGAUGAUUCAUGAUAACUCGACGGAUCGCACGACCAUCGUGCCGGUGACGCAUCAUUCAAAUUUCUGCCCUAUCAAUUUUUGAUGGUAGGAUAGUGGCCUAGCAUGGUGGUGACGGGUGACAGAGAAUUAGGGUUCGAUUCCAGAGAGGGAGCCUGGGAAACGGCUACCACAUCCAAGGAAGGCAACAGGUAUGUAAAUUACCCAAUCCUGACACGGGGAGGUAGUGACAAUAAAUAACAAUACCGGGCUCUAUGAGUCUGGUAAUUGGAAUGAGUACAAUCUAAAUCCCUUAACGAGGAUCCAUUGGAGGGAAAAUCUGGUGCCGGUAGUCGCGGUAAUUUCAGCUCCAAUAGCGUAUAUUUAAGUUGUUGCAGUUAAAAACCUCGUAGUUAGACUUAGGGAUGGGUCGACCGGUCCACCCUAGGUGUGCACCGGUCCACCCUAGGUGUGCACCGAUUGUCUCGUCCCUUCUGUCGGCAAUGCGCUCCUGGCCUUAAUUGGCCUGGUCGUGCUUUCGGUGCUGUUACUUUGAAGAAAUUAGAGUGCUCAAAGAAAGCCUACGCUCUGUAUAAAUUAGCGUGGGAUAGCAUUAUAGGAUUUCGUUUCUAUUAUGUUGGCCUUCGGGAUCAGAGUAAUGCUUAACAGGGACAGUCGGGGGCAUUCGUAUUUCAUAGUCAGUGGUGAAAUUCUUGGAUUUUUGAAAGACGAACAACUGCGAAAGCAUUUGCCAAGUAUGUUUUCAUUAAUCAAGAACGAAAGUUGGGGGCUCAAAGACGAUCAGAUACCGUCCUAGUCUCAACCAUAAACGAUGUUGACGAGGGAUCGGCAAAUGUUGCUUUUAGUACUCCGCCGACACCUUAUGAGAAAUCAAAGUUUUUUGGUUCCGGGGGGAGUAUGGUUGCAAGGUUGAAACUUAAAGGAAUUGACGGAUGGGCUGUAACAACCCGAAAAACU